RNAcentral lists this ribosomal RNA (1342 nucleotides) under uncultured bacterium. RNAcentral describes it as "bacterial SSU rRNA". It matches the Rfam family "Bacterial small subunit ribosomal RNA", at positions 28 to 1381 of the family's 1533-position model. The record is from RNAcentral.
GACGAACGCUGGCGGCGUGCUUAACACAUGCAAGUCGAACGAUGAUGCCCAGCUUGCUGGGUGGAUUAGUGGCGAACGGGUGAGUAACACGUGAGUAACCUGCCCCUGACUCUGGGAUAAGCGUUGGAAACGACGUCUAAUACUGGAUAUGAUCACUGGCCGCAUGGUCUGGUGGUGGAAAGAUUUUUUGGUUGGGGAUGGACUCGCGGCCUAUCAGCUUGUUGGUGAGGUAACGGCUCACCAAGGCGACGACGGGUAGCCGGCCUGAGAGGGUGACCGGCCACACUGGGACUGAGACACGGCCCAGACUCCUACGGGAGGCAGCAGUGGGGAAUAUUGCACAAUGGGCGAAAGCCUGAUGCAGCAACGCCGCGUGAGGGAUGACGGCCUUCGGGUUGUAAACCUCUUUUAGUAGGGAAGAAGCGAAAGUGACGGUACCUGCAGAAAAAGCACCGGCUAACUACGUGCCAGCAGCCGCGGUAAUACGUAGGGUGCAAGCGUUGUCCGGAAUUAUUGGGCGUAAAGAGCUCGUAGGCGGUUUGUCGCGUCUGCUGUGAAAUCCCGAGGCUCAACCUCGGGCUUGCAGUGGGUACGGGCAGACUAGAGUGCGGUAGGGGAGAUUGGAAUUCCUGGUGUAGCGGUGGAAUGCGCAGAUAUCAGGAGGAACACCGAUGGCGAAGGCAAAUCUCUGGGCCGUAACUGACGCUGAGGAGCGAAAGCAUGGGGAGCGAACAGGAUUAGAUACCCUGGUAGUCCAUGCCGUAAACGUUGGGCGCUAGAUGUAGGGACCUUUCCACGGUUUCUGUGUCGUAGCUAACGCAUUAAGCGCCCCGCCUGGGGAGUACGGCCGCAAGGCUAAAACUCAAAGGAAUUGACGGGGGCCCGCACAAGCGGCGGAGCAUGCGGAUUAAUUCGAUGCAACGCGAAGAACCUUACCAAGGCUUGACAUACACCGGAAACGGCCAGAGAUGGUCGCCCCCUUGUGGUCGGUGUACAGGUGGUGCAUGGUUGUCGUCAGCUCGUGUCGUGAGAUGUUGGGUUAAGUCCCGCAACGAGCGCAACCCUCGUUCUAUGUUGCCAGCGGGUUAUGCCGGGGACUCAUAGGAGACUGCCGGGGUCAACUCGGAGGAAGGUGGGGAUGACGUCAAAUCAUCAUGCCCCUUAUGUCUUGGGCUUCACGCAUGCUACAAUGGCCGGUACAAAGGGCUGCGAUACCGUAAGGUGGAGCGAAUCCCAAAAAGCCGGUCUCAGUUCGGAUUGAGGUCUGCAACUCGACCUCAUGAAGUCGGAGUCGCUAGUAAUCGCAGAUCAGCAACGCUGCGGUGAAUACGUUCCCGGGCCU